GAUGAACGCUAGCGGCAGGCUUAAUACAUGCAAGUCGAGGGGCAGCGCAGUGUAGCAAUACAUGGGCGGCGACCGGCAAACGGGUGCGGAACACGUACGCAAUCUACCCAAAACUGAUGAAUAGCCCUCCGAAAGGAGGAUUAAUACAUCGUAACUUAAUGAAGUGGCAUCGCUUUAUUAAUAUAGCUCCGGCGGUUUUGGAUGAGCGUGCGCCUGAUUAGGAGUUGGCGGGGUAACGGCCCACCAAGCCUGCGAUCAGUAACUGGUGUGAGAGCACGACCAGUCACACGGGCACUGAGACACGGGCCCGACUCCUACGGGAGGCAGCAGUAAGGAAUAUUGGUCAAUGGACGCAAGUCUGAACCAGCCAUGCCGCGUGAAGGAUGAAGGUCCUCUGGAUUGUAAACUUCUUUUAUCU
RNAcentral lists this ribosomal RNA (418 nucleotides) under uncultured bacterium. RNAcentral describes it as "bacterial SSU rRNA". It matches the Rfam family "Bacterial small subunit ribosomal RNA", at positions 28 to 441 of the family's 1533-position model. The record is from RNAcentral.